Molecule: ribosomal RNA, 810 nt
Filed under: uncultured bacterium
Lineage: Bacteria
Description: bacterial SSU rRNA
Rfam family: Bacterial small subunit ribosomal RNA
Source: RNAcentral
GGAAGAAUGAAGAGCUUGCUCUUUAUGAAAUCCAGUGGCAAACGGGUGAGUAACACGUAAACAACCUGCCUUCAGGAUGGGGACAACAGACGGAAACGACUGCUAAUACCGAAUACGAUUCUUGAGUCGCAUGACACAAGAAAGAAAGGGUGGCCUCUACUUGUAAGCUAUCGCCUGGAGAGGGGUUUGCGUCCGAUUAGGUAGUUGGUGAGGUAACGGCCCACCAAGCCGACGAUCGGUAGCCGGUCUGAGAGGAUGAACGGCCACAUUGGAACUGAGACACGGUCCAGACUCCUACGGGAGGCAGCAGUGGGGAAUCUUCCGCAAUGGGCGAAAGCCUGACGGAGCAACGCCGCGUGAGUGAAGACGGCCUUCGGGUUGUAAAACUCUGUGAUUCGGGACGAAAGAUAAGUAGACGAAUAAUCUGCAUAAGUGACGGUACCGAAAGAGCAAGCCACGGCUAACUACGUGCCAGCAGCCGCGGUAAUACGUAGGUGGCAAGCGUUGUCCGGAAUUAUUGGGCGUAAAGCGCGCGCAGGCGGCUACUUAAGUCCAUCUUAAAAGUGCGGGGCUUAACCCCGUGAUGGGAUGGAAACUGAGAAGCUGGAGUGUCGGAGAGGAAAGUGGAAUUCCUAGUGUAGCGGUGAAAUGCGUAGAGAUUAGGAAGAACACCGGUGGCGAAGGCGACUUUCUGGACGACAACUGACGCUUAGGCGCGAAAGCGUGGGGAGCAAACAGGAUUAGAUACCCUGGUAGUCCACGCCGUANACGAUGGAUACUAGGUGUAGGAGGUAUCGACCCCUUCUGUGC